GAUGAACGCUGGCGGCGUGCUUAACACAUGCAAGUCGAACGAGAAGUGAAGACGGAAACCUUCGGGCGGAAGGCUUUAUUUCGAGUGGCGGCCGGGUGAGUAACGCGUGGGUAACCUGCCUCAUACAGGGGGAUAACAGUUGGAAACGACUGAUAAUACCGCAUAAGACGACACCACCGCAUGAUGCGGGGUUAAAAACUCCGGUGGAUUGAGCGGGACCGGCUUUGGUUUAGCCAGUUGGCGGGGUAACGGCCCACCACAGCGACGAUCGAUAGCCGAACUGAGAGGAUGGCCGGCCACAUUGGGACUGAGACACAGCCCAAACUCCUACGCGAGGCAGCAGUGGGGAAUAUUGCACAAUGGGGGAAACCCUGAUGCAGCGACGCCGCGUGAGUGAAGAAGUAUGUCGGUAUGUAAAGCGCUAUCAACAGGGAAGAAAAUGACGGUACCUGAGCAAGAAGCCCCGGCUAACUACGUG
Molecule: ribosomal RNA, 478 nt
Filed under: uncultured bacterium
Lineage: Bacteria
Description: partial 16S ribosomal RNA
Rfam family: Bacterial small subunit ribosomal RNA
Source: RNAcentral